Molecule: transfer RNA, 72 nt
Filed under: Plasmodiophora brassicae
Lineage: Eukaryota; Endomyxa; Phytomyxea; Plasmodiophorida; Plasmodiophoridae
Rfam family: tRNA
About the family: Transfer RNA (tRNA) molecules are approximately 80 nucleotides in length. Their secondary structure includes four short double-helical elements and three loops (D, anti-codon, and T loops).
Source: Rfam by way of RNAcentral
GCCCGAGUAGCGAAGUGGUAACGCGUAUCCCUCCUAAGGAUAAGAUCGCCGGUUCAAGCCCGGCCUCGGGUG